GACGAACGCUAGCUACAGGCUUAACACAUGCAAGUCGAGCGGCAGCAUCGUUUUAGCUUGUUAAGGCCGAUACCGAUCGGUGCCCGGGUGAGUAACUCGUCUCCACUCUGCCGUCUACUCCUGGACAGCCGUCUGAUACGAAGAUCACUAUCUGAUGGCAUCAUGAUUCUGCAUGUUCAUUUUAUGACAGGUAUUCCGUUAGACGCUGGGGAUGCGUUGCAUUAGAUAGUGGGCGGUGUAACGGCCCACCUAGUCUUCGAUGGAUAGGGGUUCGGAGAGGAAGGGCCCCCACAGGGGAACUGAGACACGGGGCAAACACCUACGGGAGGCAGCAGUGAGGAAGAUUGGUCAAGGGGCGCAGGCCUGAACCAGCCAAGUAGCGUGAAGGAUGACUGCCCUAUGGGUUGUAAACUUCGUUUAGAAAGGAACAAAGUCGGGUAUGUAUACCCGUUUGCAUGUACUUGAUGAAUAAGGAUCGGCUAACUCCGUG
RNAcentral lists this ribosomal RNA (490 nucleotides) under uncultured bacterium. RNAcentral's name for it is "partial 16S ribosomal RNA". It matches the Rfam family "Bacterial small subunit ribosomal RNA", at positions 28 to 507 of the family's 1533-position model. The record is from RNAcentral.